UAUGGCCAUCUCAUGUUGAAACACCAGUUCUCAUACAAUCAUGAAAGUUAAGCAACAUUGAGCAUGAUUAGUACCUAGAUGGGUGAACAUUUGGGAAUACCAGGUGCUGUAAG
Non-coding RNA from Acanthosepion pharaonis, 113 nucleotides. The record is from the annotation of a GenBank genome assembly. NCBI's taxonomy places the organism in Eukaryota, Metazoa, Mollusca, Cephalopoda, Sepiida, Sepiidae.